CCUACGGGAGGCAGCAGUGAGGAAUAUUGGGCAAUGGAGGCAACUCUGACCCAGCCAUGCCGCGUGAGUGAAGAAGGUUUUCGGAUUGUAAAGCUCUUUCGGAGGGGACGAGGAUGACGGUAGCAGCUAAAGAAGCCCCGGCGAACUUCGUGCCAGCAGCCGCGGGAAUACGAAGGGGGCAAGCGUUGUUCGGAAUUACUGGGCGUAAAGGGAGUGUAGGCGGUUUAGGAAGAGCGUGGUGAAAUCCCAGGGCUUAACUUUGGAAUUGCCAUUAGAACUAUUAGACUAGAAUUCCCGAGAGGCUAGUGGCAUCCCCAGUGUCGUGGUGUACUUCGUAGAUCUUGGG
Molecule: ribosomal RNA, 346 nt
Filed under: uncultured bacterium
Lineage: Bacteria
Description: partial 16S ribosomal RNA
Rfam family: Bacterial small subunit ribosomal RNA
Source: RNAcentral